Molecule: ribosomal RNA, 248 nt
Filed under: uncultured bacterium
Lineage: Bacteria
Description: partial 16S ribosomal RNA
Rfam family: Bacterial small subunit ribosomal RNA
Source: RNAcentral
AGGGUGCAAGCGUUACUCGGAAUUACUGGGCGUAAAGCGUGCGUAGGUGGUUUGUUAAGUCUGAUGUGAAAGCCCUGGGCUCAACCUGGGAAUUGCAUUGGAUACUGGCAGGCUAGAGUGCGGUAGAGGAUGGCGGAAUUCCCGGUGUAGCAGUGAAAUGCGUAGAGAUCGGGAGGAACAUCUGUGGCGAAGGCGGCCAUCUGGACCAGCACUGACACUGAGGCACGAAAGCGUGGGGAGCAAACAGG